GACGAACGCUGGCGGCGUGCUUAACACAUGCAAGUCGAACGGAAAGGCCCUGCUUUUGUGGGGUGCUCGAGUGGCGAACGGGUGUGUAACACGUGAGUAACCUGCCCUUGACUUUGGGAAAACUUCAGGAAACUGGGGCUAAUACCGGAUAGGAGCUCCUGCCGCAGGGGGGGGGUUGGAAAGUUUCGGCGGUUGGGGAUGGACUCGCGGUUUAUCAGCUUGUUGGUGGGGUAGUGGCUUACCAAGGCUUUGACGGGUAGCCGGCCUGAGAGGGUGACCGGCCACAUUGGGACUGAGAUACGGCCCAGACUCCUACGGGAGGCAGCAGUGGGGAAUAUUGCACAAUGGGCGGAAGCCUGAUGCAGCAACGCCGCGUGCGGGAUGACGGCCUUCGGGUUGUAAACCGCUUUCGCCUGGGACGAAGCGUGAGUGACGGUAAUGGGUAAAGAAGCACCGGCUAACUACGUG
RNAcentral lists this ribosomal RNA (468 nucleotides) under uncultured bacterium. Its description in RNAcentral is "partial 16S ribosomal RNA". It matches the Rfam family "Bacterial small subunit ribosomal RNA", at positions 28 to 507 of the family's 1533-position model. The record is from RNAcentral.